This 1592-nucleotide ribosomal RNA is filed under the name Aepyornis sp. Its description in RNAcentral is "16S ribosomal RNA". It matches the Rfam family "Bacterial large subunit ribosomal RNA", at positions 228 to 2836 of the family's 2925-position model. The record is from RNAcentral. Lineage: Eukaryota; Metazoa; Chordata; Aves; Struthioniformes; Aepyornithidae.
AACUCUAUCUCUAGCUCAGCCACUUCUCAAUAAAACCAAACAAUCUACUACAACACCUAACUAAAACAUUCUCCAUUCCUAGUAUAGGCGAUAGAAAAGUUACUUGACGCAAUAGAGACACAUCGUACCGUAAGGGAAGGAUGAAAUAACAGUGAAAAGCAAAGUGAAAAACAGCAAAGACCAACCCUUGUACCUCUUGCAUCAUGAUUUAGCAAGAACACCCAAGCAAAACGGACUUAAGCUUGCCAUCCCGAAACCCAAGCGAGCUACUUACAAGCAGCUAUCAUGAGCAAACCCGUCUCUGUGGCAAAAGAGUGGGAAGACUUGUCAGUAGAGGUGAAAAGCCAAUCGAGCUGGGUGAUAGCUGGUUGCCUGUGAAACGAAUCUAAGUUCAUCCCUAAUUUACCCCUCCCGGAUACUAAACAAACCUUAACGAGGAAAAUUAGRAAUAAUUUAAAGGAGGUACAGCUCCUUUAAAAAAGAAUACAAUCUCCACUAGAGGAUAAUUUACCCCCAACACUAUACGUGGGCCCUCAAGCAGCCAUCAAUAAAGAGUGCGUCAAAGCUCAACCAACCAUAAAAAUUCAAAAACGCCAUGACCCCCUCACCACUAACAGGCUAAUCUAUGACUAUAGAAGAAUCAAUGCUAAAAUGAGUAACUAGAAGACCCUUCUCUUAAGCGCAAGCUUACAUUACCUAUUAUUAACAGAACGACUUAUACUACUACCUCAACGAGCACAAAUAUUAAACCACCCUGUUACCCCAACUCAGGAGCGCUUACUAGAAAGAUUAAAAUCUGCAAAAGGAACUAGGCAAACUAAAGGCCCGACUGUUUACCAAAAACAUAGCCUUCAGCUAACACCAAGUAUUGAAGGUGAUGCCUGCCCAGUGACUUACGUUUAACGGCCGCGGUAUCCUAACCGUGCGAAGGUAGCGCAAUCAAUUGUCCCAUAAAUCGAGACUUGUAUGAAUGGCUAAACGAGGUCUUAACUGUCUCUUGCAGAUAAUCAGUGAAAUUGAUCUCCCUGUGCAAAAGCAGGAAUAUGAACAUAAGACGAGAAGACCCUGUGGAACUUCAAAAUCAAGGACCAAUGUACUUAACCUCCAAACCUACAAGGCUCACUACACUUACAAUACAAUGGUCCUUAUUUUUCGGUUGGGGCGACCUUGGAGAAAAAAAGAUCCUCCAAAAAUAAGACCAUCAAUCUUGACUAAGAGCUACUCCUCAAAGUGCUAAUAGUAACCAGACCCAAUAUAAUUGACUAGUGAACCAAGCUACCCCAGGGAUAACAGCGCAAUCUCCUUCAAGAGCCCCUAUCGACAAGGAGGUUUACGACCUCGAUGUUGGAUCAGGACAUCCUAAUGGUGCAGCCGCUAUUAAGGGUUCGUUUGUUCAACAAUUAACAGUCCUACGUGAUCUGAGUUCAGACCGGAGCAAUCCAGGUCGGUUUCUAUCUAUGUUAUACUCUUCCUAGUACGAAAGGACCGGAAAAGUAAGGCCAAUACCAGAAAGUACGCCUUCUUUCUAAUUAGUGAAAUCAACUCAACUAACAAGAAAACCCACUCAUCCAACCACACCCUAGAAAAGGGCU